This 92-nucleotide transfer RNA is filed under the name Candidatus Pelagibacteraceae bacterium. Its description in RNAcentral is "tRNA-Ser". It matches the Rfam family "tRNA". From Rfam's summary of the family: Transfer RNA (tRNA) molecules are approximately 80 nucleotides in length. Their secondary structure includes four short double-helical elements and three loops (D, anti-codon, and T loops). The record is from RNAcentral. Lineage: Bacteria; Pseudomonadati; Pseudomonadota; Alphaproteobacteria; Candidatus Pelagibacterales; Candidatus Pelagibacteraceae.
GGAAGCGUGGGUGAGUGGUUUAAACCAGAAGUUUGCUAAAUUUCCGUAGGAUUAAUUUUCUACCAAGAGUUCGAAUCUCUUCGCUUCCGCCA